AGCGAACGCUGGCGGCAGGCCUAACACAUGCAAGUCGAACGAACCUUUCGGGGUUAGUGGCGGACGUGUGGGUAACACGUGGGAACGUGCCUUUAGGUUCGGAAUACCUCAGGGAAACUUGUGCUAAUACCGAAUGUGCCCUUCGGGGGAAAGAUUUAUCGCCUUUAGAGCGGCCCGCGUCUGAUUAGCUAGUUGGUUGGGGUAAUGGCUCACCAAGGCGACGUUCAGUAGCUGGUCUGAGAGGAGGAUCAGCCACAUUGGGACUGAGACACGGACCAAACUCCUACGGGAGGGAGGAGUGGGGAAUCUUGCGCAAUGGGGGAAAGCGUGACGCAGCCAUGCCGGGUGAAUGAUGAAGGGCUUAGGAUUGUAAAAUUCUUUCACCGGGGACGAUAAUGACGGUACCCGGAGAAGAAGCCCCGGCUAACUUCGUG
This 434-nucleotide ribosomal RNA is filed under the name uncultured bacterium. RNAcentral's name for it is "partial 16S ribosomal RNA". It matches the Rfam family "Bacterial small subunit ribosomal RNA", at positions 29 to 507 of the family's 1533-position model. The record is from RNAcentral.